AUUCAAAUCCGUGGCUCUCAUUUAAGACCAGUGGUUCUCAAAUUUUUAUCAGAAUCAAACACAUACAACAGAAAUCCUUAAAGCAACAGGUGUCUGGACCCCAAAUGACAUUUUUUUUUUUUAAAUCCAGUAGGUCAGCAAUGAAUUCGUAGUGAUUUGAAUAAGAAAGCUCCUCAUAAGCCUGGAUAUUUGAAUACUUAGUCCCCAGUGGGUGGUUCUGUUUGAGAGGAUUAGGUAGUGCAGGAAGUUCGUCACUGGGGGUGGGCUUUGAGAUUAGUGCCACUUCCAGAGGAAGUAUGUCACUGGGCUUUGGGGUUAGUCCCACUUCUAAUUCUACUCUCUGCUUCAUAGUUUAGAUUAAGGAUGUAACUCUUAGCUUCCUGUUCUAGCCAUCAUGCCUCCUGCUGUGAUGGACUCAGCCCUUUGGAACCAUAAGCCCAUGCAAACCCUUUCUUCCAUAAGUUGCCUUGGUGUGUUUUAUGACAACAGGAAAAUAAUAUAGUAUUUCAAACUGUCUUUGGGAGAUCCUGAUGCCAAACCAGACUCUAUACUGUGAGCAAGUCUGGAUCGCAGCCAAAGGAAUCUUACCCUUCUUGUAUAGGUGUCAAGAAGCCAGGGAGACUCCUGGAGCUGCGAAAUGGCUGGGGUAUAUGAAAGGGAGAAGGUCCUGCUUCAGUCAGACUCUCUUGGUUUCCUUUUCAUUUACUGGGAUCAAAUAUUCAGACAAAAACCCAACUUACUCAGCUUAUAAUUCUGGAUACAGUCCAUCAUGGGGUGGGGGAUGGGUGACACAACAGCGGGAGCUCAAGGGACCAUUAUUCACACUGCGUUCAUAACUAGGAACAGAGAGGAAAGACUGUGCAUUCUAGAACUUCACUCUCAGUCUAGGAUCCUCUUCCUAGGGAUUGGUGCCACCCAUAGUGGGAUAGUCUUCAAACCUCAACCUAAUCAAAAAAAAAAAAA
This 963-nucleotide long non-coding RNA is filed under the name Rattus norvegicus (Norway rat). RNAcentral's name for it is "long non-coding RNA NONRATT028142". Lineage: Eukaryota; Metazoa; Chordata; Mammalia; Rodentia; Muridae. The record is from RNAcentral.